CUCUCGAUCUCCGUGGAGUUUAUAAACUAACUACUAAACCUUUGGGGGAUUUAAAAACAACUCCAGCUCGCUGCGCGCCUCUCUUUUUCUCUUCGCUCGGCUCUUACGCUAGUGUCAACGCCAAAGCUACCGGUGUAUCGGUAGUCUAGCCUGCUAAUAGGAAUACAACAGACUGCUUUGGGUCGCUGUGGACUGUACAUGCUGCAGAAAGGAGCGGCCAGUGCCAGCUGUGGCUGUAAGGACCAGAGGUGUUUGUUUUCAAGGUGCGCCUUUUUGCGGUUAGUUCCAGCUCAUCUCCUCCCAGUGCCAUUGAUCAGUGUCAAAAUAAAUCGGGCUACAAAAUAUACAUGUAUCCCUACAUGUAAUUAAUGCAAUUUACACAAUGCCAUCCUUAUAGACUUUGACCGUGCAUGACAGCAACAAUGGUACGGUAUCUGUGCGUUAACAACCGUAUCAUGUACCAACACGUUUCACCCGGCAGGCAAGCACAACUCGCGCAAGUGGUAGCAUUGUUAAAACCACAAAUUCUAUUUAUAGGGCUGGUUUGUGUAUGAUGUUGUAUAAUAUGAUACUGUGCAGCAAGGGUAGCCUAUGUUGUGUAUUUUCAAGCGCUCCGUUCGCAUGUGCCACUGUAUCUUGCGCUCGCUUCUCAUAACGUGCGCGCCCGGUUUCGCUGCCCUGGGUGCAUCAAGUGCACAGUCAUCAGGUAUGUGUUUGUUAUAUUCUUCCAACAACAUUCCGUCAUUUUCAACAUGUCCAUAUAUUCAAGUUGUAUUGCUGAUAAUAGUUGGGUGUUUUUCAGAUUGAUGCGCCCAUAUACGAACCUAUAGCUAAUCGGUGAUGAUAUCGAACUCAGUCAGUAUUGGUGAGGUAAGAGCAGCGUUAGUUUAGUUUAUACUAGCCUAUGUACCCAACAGGUUCCUUCAUUAUCAGGAUAUGUAUGUGGAAUGAGUGAUGAGCACGUGACAGUUAAGGUUUGACUGAGGCUGUAAGGGCAUAUUGAUGAUGAAUAUAAGAUAUAUAAUAAUAAUAAUAAUAUAUGCCAUUUAGCAGACGCUUUUAUCCAAAGCGACUUACAGUCAUGUGUGCAUACAUUCUACGUAUGGGUGGUCCCGGGGAUCAAACCCACUACCCUGGCGUUACAAGCGCCAUGCUCUACGAACUGAGCUACAGAAGACUUGCUCAGAAUAUGACAGAGCUGUUCAAUAAGUGAAUGGAUUUCCUGCUGUAAUUGAAGUCUUUAGAGGGCUUAGUGGUUAGGGAAUACGCAGUGUGCAUGUUUCUGUGUGGUGUGUGUGUGUGUGUCAGAUUUAAGAAAGGGGAAAAGUUAACCCUGUACUUCCCCCUCCUCCUUUCAGUCUCUCUUGUAAAAGAUGCAUAGCUAGCAGAGAUGACGAUGAUGAUGAUAUCAAAUCUCAGGAAAGGAAUGACCAUGACCGGAUUUCAAGGCCAUAAUUGACAAGAUCCCUGCAUGAGAGAACGAGAGAGAGACAGAGAGGGAGGGAGGGAUGUUUGGAAGCAACAGAGGUCCACAUUAGAGCCACAGAACAGGGAUUGAAGGAACACCCAUUGGAACCAUGGAAUCAGUCCUGGGAAUGUCAAAGCAUCUCAGAGAAACAGAUACCUGGGUUUGACUGACAGCCAGAGGUUCACUAACUAAUUGGUAUAUUCAGAAUGUACUCUAGGUUUCCACACCACCCAUAACCAAGGAGAGGAGAGAAAAAGGAGAGGAAAGGAGAAUGGAGAAGAGAAAAGGAGGACAAGAGAGGAGAUGAAAGGAGAAGAGAAGAAAGGACAGAUGAUGAGAGGACAGACGAUGAGAGGAGAGAAGGAGAAAGGACGGAUGAAGAGGAGAUAGGAGAGGAGAAGAGAGUCGUGAGAAGAAGUCAGGAAUACAGAAGGAAGACUGUGGGAACAAGAGUGGAUCCAGCCCGCUUGACUGUGGUGACAAGCCUUUCAUUUCCAUGCUGAGACAAGUCUGAUAACCUGGCUGUGGGACUGACUGGUUGUGGUUGACAACAUCUGUAGGAGGUGUGUGUGAAUGUGUGCAGACUGGAUGUCCUGCUCCCCUUAAAUCAGUCAUCUCAUUGUCUGUAUAAAAGGACACACAGAAGAAACCUCAACAAAUGCUUUUGUUGGUUAGUUUCAA
This is a long non-coding RNA of Oncorhynchus gorbuscha (pink salmon), 2149 nucleotides long. RefSeq lists it as uncharacterized. The record is from RefSeq and is a predicted model, not a curated record. NCBI's taxonomy places the organism in Eukaryota, Metazoa, Chordata, Actinopteri, Salmoniformes, Salmonidae. The transcript is spliced from 3 exons.